This 691-nucleotide ribosomal RNA is filed under the name Wolbachia pipientis. Its description in RNAcentral is "bacterial SSU rRNA". It matches the Rfam family "Bacterial small subunit ribosomal RNA", at positions 62 to 781 of the family's 1533-position model. The record is from RNAcentral. Lineage: Bacteria; Pseudomonadati; Pseudomonadota; Alphaproteobacteria; Rickettsiales; Anaplasmataceae.
UCGAACGGAGUUAUAUUGUAGCUUGCUAUGGUNUAACUUAGUGGCAGACGGGUGAGUAAUGUAUAGGAAUCUACCUAGUAGUACGGAAUAAUUGUUGGAAACGGCAACUAAUACCGUAUACGCCCUACGGGGGAAAAAUUUAUUGCUAUUAGAUGAGCCUAUAUUAGAUUAGCUAGUUGGUGGAGUAAUAGCCUACCAAGGCAAUGAUCUAUAGCUGAUCUGAGAGGAUGAUCAGCCACACUGGAACUGAGAUACGGUCCAGACUCCUACGGGAGGCAGCAGUGGGGAAUAUUGGACAAUGGGCGAAAGCCUGAUCCAGCCAUGCCGCAUGAGUGAAGAAGGCCUUUGGGUUGUAAAGCUCUUUUAGUGAGGAAGAUAAUGACGGUACUCACAGAAGAAGUCCUGGCUAACUCCGUGCCAGCAGCCGCGGUAAUACGGAGAGGGCUAGCGUUAUUCGGAAUUAUUGGGCGUAAAGGGCGCGUAGGCUGGUUAAUAAGUUAAAAGUGAAAUCCCGAGGCUUAACCUUGGAAUUGCUUUUAAAACUAUUAAUCUAGAGAUUGAAAGAGGAUAGAGGAAUUCCUGAUGUAGAGGUAAAAUUCGUAAAUAUUAGGAGGAACACCAGUGGCGAAGGCGUCUAUCUGGUUCAAAUCUGACGCUGAAGCGCGAAGGCGUGGGGAGCAAACAGGAUUAG